Molecule: ribosomal RNA, 424 nt
Filed under: uncultured prokaryote
Description: bacterial SSU rRNA
Rfam family: Bacterial small subunit ribosomal RNA
Source: RNAcentral
UGGGGAAUCUUGGACAAUGGGGGCAACCCUGAUCCAGCCAUGCCGCGUGGGUGAAGAAGGCCUUAGGGUUGUAAAGCCCUUUCAGUCGUGACGAUGAUGACGGUAGCGACAGCAGACGCCCCGGCUAACUCCGUGCCAGCAGCCGCGGUAAUACGGAGGGGGCAAGCGUUGUUCGGAUUUACUGGGCGUAAAGGGCGCGUAGGCGGACGGUCUAGUCAGAGGUCAAAGGCCCGGGCUCAACCUGGGACGUGCCUUUGAAACUGAUUGUCUUGAGUGCGGAAGAGGGUGACGGAAUUCCCAGUGUAGAGGUGAAAUUCGGAGAUAUUGGGGAGAACACCGGUGGCGAAGGCGGUCACCUGGGCCGCAACUGACGCUGAGGCGCGAAAGCGUGGGGAGCAAACAGGAUUAGAUACCCCCGUAGUCC